RNAcentral lists this ribosomal RNA (292 nucleotides) under uncultured bacterium. RNAcentral's name for it is "partial 16S ribosomal RNA". It matches the Rfam family "Bacterial small subunit ribosomal RNA", at positions 505 to 796 of the family's 1533-position model. The record is from RNAcentral.
GUGUCAGCAGCCGCGGUAAUACAGAGGGUGCAAGCGUUAAUCGGAAUUACUGGGCGUAAAGGGCGCGUAGGCGGAUGAAUAAGUUAGGUGUGAAAUACCCGGGCUUAACCUGGGAGUGGCACUUAAUACUGUUGAUCUAGAGUAGAGUAGAGGGAAGUGGAAUUUCCGGUGUAGCGGUGAAAUGCGUAGAGAUCGGAAAGAACACCAGUGGCGAAGGCGGCUUCCUGGACUCAUACUGACGCUGAGGCGCGAAAGCGUGGGGAGCAAACAGGAUUAGAUACCCCGGUAGUCC